GAUGAACGCUGGCGGCGUGCCUAAUACAUGCAAGUCGAGCGAACAGAUGAGGAGCUUGCUCCUCUGACGUUAGCGGCGGAAGGGUGAGUAACACGUGGAUCACCUACCUAUAAGACUGGGAUAACUUCGGGAAACCAGUACUGAUAACGGAUAAUAUCUUGAACGGCAUGGUUCAAAAGUGAAAGACGGUUUUGCUGUCACUUAUAGAUGGAUCCGCGCCGCAUUAGCUAGUUGGUAAGGUAACGGCUUACCAAGGCAGCGAUGCGUAGCCGACCUGAGAGGGUGAUCGGCCACACUGGAACUGAGACACGGUCCAGACUCCUACGGGAGGCAGCAGUAGGGAAUCUUCCGCAAUGGGCGAAAGCCUGACGGAUCAACGCCGCGUGAGUGAUGAAGGUCUUCGGAUCGUAAAACGCUGUUAUUAUGGAAGAACAAAUGUGGAAGUAACUAUGCACGUCUUGACGGUACCUAAUCAGAAAGCCCCGGCUAACUACGUG
This 497-nucleotide ribosomal RNA is filed under the name uncultured bacterium. Its description in RNAcentral is "partial 16S ribosomal RNA". It matches the Rfam family "Bacterial small subunit ribosomal RNA", at positions 28 to 507 of the family's 1533-position model. The record is from RNAcentral.